CCUACGGGAGGCAGCAGUGGGGAAUAUUGCACAAUGGGCGAAAGCCUGAUGCAGCAACGCCGCGUGAAGGAAGACGGUUUUCGGAUUGUACACUUCUGUUCUUAGUGAAGAAUAAUGACGGUAACUAAGGAGCAAGCCACGGCUAACUCCGUGCCAGCAGCAGCGGUAAUACGUAGGUGGCAAGCGUUGUCCGGAAUUACUGGGUGUAAAGGGAGCGUAGACGGGAAGCCAAGUCAGCUGUGAAAACUACGGGCUUAACCUGUAGACUGCAGUUGAAACUGGCCUUCUGGAGUGAAGUAGAGGUUAGCGGAAUUCCGAGUGUAGCGGUGAAAUGCGUAGAUAUUCGGAGGAACACCGGUGGCGAAGGCGGCCAACUGGGCUUUAACUGACGCUGAGGCUCGAAAGUGUGGGGAGCAAACAGGAUUAGAUACCCUGGUAGUC
This 441-nucleotide ribosomal RNA is filed under the name uncultured bacterium. RNAcentral describes it as "partial 16S ribosomal RNA". It matches the Rfam family "Bacterial small subunit ribosomal RNA", at positions 338 to 795 of the family's 1533-position model. The record is from RNAcentral.